AACUCAUCUACAAAAAACAAACAAAUACUUGUUAUACUUUUAUGAAUUGUCAAGUUGUACAACACACAGCAAUUAAGAUUAAGACAAACAAAAAAAUCACUGAUAUUAUUAAUUCCAUUGUUGUGUCUAAUAGAUAGAAACAACUUGUGUUGUAAAAGGAAAGAUGACAGCCAGAUGACGUCAAAGUAUCGCGAGAGCGAGACGAAAUUUGAUUUCUUGAAUCCUUCUCGCGGUACUCUGACGUCAUCCGGCUGUCAGUCUUGCGGCGCCGCAUGAAGUCAAAUAAGCCUCCUGACUGCGUGCGAGAACAUUUUGAAUUAUCUGGCACGAGGCAUCACACGUCAAACUUCAACUGACACAACGGUCUCGGUGAAGGGAAUAAGCAAAAGCUCCUUUAAAUUUCGUCAUUUUUUAUACACAUCCCGUUUAUUUUGUAGUUAAUUGUUAGAUAAGUAAGUAAUUUCGUCAAGUUUUCGUUACAGAGUAAGAUUUCGUUAUCAUCGUUACCAUAUACAGUAGCCUAUUUAUAUUGGUUCAAGAGCGCAGUUUGAUAACUCAUUCAAGGGGGUUCUGUUCCUGCAGUCUUCCAGCAAUACUGGCGCGUAUGACGAUGCGGACACGAACUGCACACUACAGUAUACCGCCGCCUACUGUACUGUAGUAAAAUAACGUCCUUUAAACAUCUAAACAUGUCCUCCAAAAAGGUAAGUUCAGCAGAUCAGCUUAUCUUAUUCUGUAAUAUUGAUACUGGUUUGAGAAAAACUAAGAUUAAACAACGUACAUGUUUCCAGGAAAAAGGGAAAAACACUGGAAAACAAUUUCAGCCUAAGAACAAAAUAAGGCUGAGGUAGCACCAUCCUUGUGGUUAGAGUGAAAGAAUGUGGGUAUUGAGACCAAAAUAAAUAAUGUGCCAUUCUGGACAAACAGCUGUGGACAAUACAAGCAGUCAGAGUAGCCCAUUUUCUCACACAGAUGAGGAGCAACCAGUAAGAAAAAGCAAAAAGAUGUUUUGAUGUUGCCUGAGGCACCUUAUUCACAUCAGUCAAUUUCUUCCAAUAAUGAAUCAAGAAAUCCUGGAGUGGGGAAUCAUUCUGAAAGUAGACCAAAUACAGGACAACACCACAGCAGUGGUUGGAAAAAUGCAGCAGACAAUGAGCAAACCAAGCUGACUUUCAAAAGAUGAUUCGUUAUCUGUUUCUUCAAAGGGGAGGCAGUUUGGGAGAUGGGAAAUAGGAGGAUGCUACAGCUACACAGGGCGAAUUUCAGCAGCUCAGUUUCACACUUGCAACUAACAAUGAAUUAUAGUUAGAAGACAACGGAAAUAUUUGACAUGGGAGUCCAGCAGACAGCCAGAGACACGCACACACACGGAGCUGAAGCGCGUUUGACUGACGCGUACGGGAGAUCAGGCACGCGCACGGGAGCUCGCGCGCGCACGCACACACAAACACGGAGCACAUGAAAAUUA
Paramisgurnus dabryanus is the source of this 1468-nucleotide non-coding RNA. The record is from RefSeq and is a predicted model, not a curated record. Lineage: Eukaryota; Metazoa; Chordata; Actinopteri; Cypriniformes; Cobitidae.